This 262-nucleotide long non-coding RNA is filed under the name Vitis vinifera (wine grape). RNAcentral's name for it is "long non-coding RNA (VVIN_LNC000946)". Lineage: Eukaryota; Viridiplantae; Streptophyta; Magnoliopsida; Vitales; Vitaceae. The record is from RNAcentral.
UUUUUAGGCAGAGACUUUGAACCAUCAAAAAAAUUGAUAUGGCUUGGAGAAUUAGGGGUUUUAAUCCUCAUCUGAGGUCCAAAAAGAAUAGUCUUACUCUCCGAUGAUCCGAGAACUUUACCGGAUAGUUUCCCACCAUCAUCAAGAGAAUCUAUGAUGCUUAAACCUACUUUACUGCAAUCCCAGCUCUUGUGCUGCCCAUCUUGGGAUGAUCUUGGGGACCUAAAUGGGCUGCCUAGAUUUGAAAAUACUCUAAAAUCUA